UGCUGUCUCUGCUGCCUCAACGUCUCC
This 27-nucleotide non-coding RNA is filed under the name Homo sapiens (human). Lineage: Eukaryota; Metazoa; Chordata; Mammalia; Primates; Hominidae. The record is from RNAcentral.